Molecule: ribosomal RNA, 293 nt
Filed under: uncultured bacterium
Lineage: Bacteria
Description: partial 16S ribosomal RNA
Rfam family: Bacterial small subunit ribosomal RNA
Source: RNAcentral
GGAUUAGAUACCCUGGUAGUCCACACCGUAAACGCUGUCUACUAGCUGUAUGUGUAUUUAAUACGUGUGUAGCGAAGCUAACGCGCUAAGUAGACCGCCUGGGGAGUACGGUCGCAAGAUUAAAACUCAAAUGAAUUGACGGGGGCCCGCACAAGCGGUGGAGCAUGUGGUUUAAUUCGAUGCAACGCGAAGAACCUUACCUACACUUGACAUUCAGCGAACUUAGCAGAGAUGCUUUGGUGCCUUCGGGAACGCUGGGACAGGUGCUGCAUGGCUGUCGUCAGCUCGUGCCG